This 305-nucleotide ribosomal RNA is filed under the name uncultured bacterium. RNAcentral describes it as "partial 16S ribosomal RNA". It matches the Rfam family "Bacterial small subunit ribosomal RNA", at positions 505 to 807 of the family's 1533-position model. The record is from RNAcentral.
ACAGCAGCAGCCGCGGUAAUACGUAGGUGGCAAGCGUUGUCCGGAAUUAUUGGGCGUAAAGGGCUCGCAGGCGGUUUCUUAAGUCUGAUGUGAAAGCCCCCGGCUCAACCGGGGAGGGUCAUGGGAAACUGGGAAACUUGAGUGCAGAAGAGGAGAGUGGAAUUCCACGUGUAGCGGUGAAAUGCGUAGAGAUGUGGAGGAACACCAGUGGCGAAGGCGACUCUCUGGUCUGUAACUGACGCUGAGGAGCGAAAGCGUGGGGAGCGAACAGGAUUAGAUACCCCAGUAGUCCCUGUCUCUUAUAC